Molecule: ribosomal RNA, 301 nt
Filed under: uncultured bacterium
Lineage: Bacteria
Description: partial 16S ribosomal RNA
Rfam family: Bacterial small subunit ribosomal RNA
Source: RNAcentral
CAGUAGCCGCGGUAAUACGUAGGGUGCAAGCGUUAAUCGGAAUUACUGGGCGUAAAGCGUGCGCAGGCGGUUUGUUAAGACAGAUGUGAAAUCCCCGGGCUCAACCUGGGAACUGCACUUGUGACUGGCAAGCUAGAGUAUGGCAGAGGGGGGUGGAAUUCCGCGUGUAGCAGUGAAAUGCGUAGAUAUGCGGAGGAACACCGAUGGCGAAGGCAGCCCCCUGGGCCAGUACUGACGCUCAUGCACGAAAGCGUGGGGAGCAAACAGGAUUAGAUACCCCAGUAGUCCCUGUCUCUUAUAC